Molecule: non-coding RNA, 30 nt
Organism: Anoxybacillus sp. B7M1
Lineage: Bacteria; Bacillati; Bacillota; Bacilli; Caryophanales; Anoxybacillaceae
Source: Rfam
GUUUCAAUCCCUCAUAGUUAAGAUACAAAC